UACGUAGGUGGCAAGCGUUGUCCGGAAUUAUUGGGCGUAAAGCGCGCGCAGGCGGUCUUUUAAGUCUGAUGUGAAAGCCCCCGGCUCAACCGGGGAGGGUCAUUGGAAACUGGGAGACUUGAGUGCAGAAGAGAAGAGUGGAAUUCCACGUGUAGCGGUGAAAUGCGUAGAGAUGUGGAGGAACACCAGUGGCGAAGGCGGCACUCUGGGCUGGAACUGACGCUGAGGAGCGAAAGCGUGGGUAGCAAACAGG
RNAcentral lists this ribosomal RNA (253 nucleotides) under uncultured bacterium. RNAcentral's name for it is "partial 16S ribosomal RNA". It matches the Rfam family "Bacterial small subunit ribosomal RNA", at positions 524 to 776 of the family's 1533-position model. The record is from RNAcentral.